This is a non-coding RNA of Paralichthys olivaceus (Japanese flounder), 1042 nucleotides long. The record is from RefSeq and is a predicted model, not a curated record. Lineage: Eukaryota; Metazoa; Chordata; Actinopteri; Pleuronectiformes; Paralichthyidae.
UGAACUCUUGGUCCUGAGCAGAUGGCCCACACACUCGUUCAUCACCAUGUCUUCACCUCGUCUGUGAGCAAACAGAGAAAUGAUCAAGGGCAGGUAUCAUGUGACCUCCGACUGAUAGACACUGACAGGAGAAUGAAGGAGAGUAACACCCAGUCACACAAUCAGCACUUUCAAAAGCGCAUCAGCAAAAGAAACAUUCUUCUGAUGUGUGGUCACUAUGAUAACCCGACCAUCAGUCACAAUAAAAUCUGACUUCAAUUCAGCUGUGUGCUUGUUCCUAACUCUGGUUUGAUGCCAAUUUUGAUAAGGGAUGUUCCAAUAACGUUUUGCUUUUGCUUCAAGUCAAUAUUGACUUAUGUGGCUCUUAACAGAUAUGCGCAUCUUACUACUGUUCAUAAUAGAGACAUACAGUGUGCAAUUCAGUGCAUCAGGAUGGUAAAAGUGAACAAAAUAGACCAGACUAAGCAGCUAUGCUGUAAGAAUAUUUGACUGCCAUGCUGUAAUUAGAUAGAAAAGACUGUUAUGAUCUGAUCCCUGUGUAAACUUCCUGCAUUCACUUCCUGUUUUAUUAUGAAAUUACCAUGAGUUUCUUGCAGUUUUUUUUCCUGUCUUUGUGUAUUUUCACUCCACCUUUUGUUAAAACUUGUGUCUUUCAGCCAUUUAGUUUCACUAUAAUUACAAUCUUAUGUUUGUCACCAUAUGCUAAGAUUCUGUUUUUCUCCCUGUUUGCAAAAGCACCACUCAGCGAGAACCUAGGUUACUGCCCCAGUCUAGUAAGGCGUCUGGGGUCCCAGUGCAAGUCUUGACUUUUCUCUGCAUUAGCCCUGUUCCUCUCAUUGUUUUGUAACAGCCCCACUCAGCCUUGGGCAUUUGCUUUUGGGUCUUUCUCUUGCAUCUGUUGCACUGGUCAUCUCAUCUGGCAGACCCACAUGCAGUUUGUUGUAAAAAACAAGUUUUCCAUCUUGACUGCACUUCACAUAUACACCACCUAAAACUAGGAACAAAGAAAUUAAUCAAGACCUGUUCAGAAAUGUAGUUCUGA